AUAGUCAUGGAAAGACAUUCGUAAUAUUUUGUUUUGCAAAAAUCCAGGGCUUUUAAACAAGACUUCACACAGGAUAAUAGUUUUGCAAAAAUAUAUCCAAAAAAUAUGCCUAGAAAGAGAUCUGAGGGGAUCUACACCAAACUGUUAAUAUCUAUCUUUAGGUAGUAGGGUUUUAGGAGAUAUUUGUCUUUUUUAUAAUUUUCUGUAUUUCCAAUACAGAAAAUGAAGGUGUAUCAUUCUUAGAAAAAAUACAAGUGUGUAUCAUUCUUGGAAAUUUACUUAAAAUGAAUGUGUAUCAUUCUUAGAAAAAAAUAUUAAAAUUAUUUAAAAGAAACAAAAUUUUGUUCUUAAAUAUGUGUAUUCUUUUCACAUCUCAUUUUUCAGAUACAUGAAAUGGCAGCUACGAAACAUCUUAAAAGGUCAGAAAAUAAAUGAAUUGUUGGCUAGAGGUCAGCCAACAAUAAAAAAUUUGGAUGAUCAAAACUGCUUGACAUAUAUACAAUGCUAGGUGAGUUAAUUUUAUUAAGGCUGAAGAGAAAAAAAUGUAUAAAGGUUUUCAAAUGAAGAACCUGGCCUGACUGGCAUGUGUCCUUAUUAUGAUCCCAGCGUGUCCAUCUUGCAGAGGGCUUAAAGAUGAUCCACAUCAGCUCCCACAUUACACAGACAGGUAAGGCACUUGCUCCAGGUCUGGGAGCUGUUUACAGCAAAGCCAGGACUAGAACCCUGUGUCCAGCUCUAGCUCCCAUCUCAGGGCCAAAGCUACAAGGACACCCGCCCUCUCCGUGUGACCAUGGAGGAUGCCGGGGCUGAGAUUUCCUUCCUGGAGCGCUCCAGGUAUGCAUUCUGACGGCUCACGUUACUUUCUUCUCAGUGGCGGUCCUUGGCUCUAGAAUGUGAUCUCCUUGGAGAUAGACAUGGCACUAGGCGUGCGGAUCCUGUCUGGAGUGGGCAGAGCUUCUUCUAGAAUACCAGGGCUUCCUGCCACAUUCUCUUCACUGCACGGCAGUUUGUCUGUGUUCUCUGAAGUACUCUUCUGGGUUAAUUUGCCCUGCUUUGAUGAAACACGCCCUGAGCAUCAGUCACCCUGGUAUUGUGAAGAAUCCAUGUGUGAUCUUGGGUGUCAGGCAGACCAAAUGAAGUUUCCUCCAGUCCCUCCACUUGACAGGAACUUCUCUCCACUGUGUUAGCGGGGUAUGGUGAGUGUAGCUCUGUGAGUUGGAGGCUCUGUGCAUGCAGUGGAGCCAGCAGAGCCCACACAGACUGGCGAGCCCGUGGACUUCAGACAUGU
This 1288-nucleotide long non-coding RNA is filed under the name Homo sapiens (human). RNAcentral describes it as "HSALNT0066515". Lineage: Eukaryota; Metazoa; Chordata; Mammalia; Primates; Hominidae. The record is from RNAcentral.